RNAcentral lists this transfer RNA (114 nucleotides) under Rhizoctonia solani AG-1 IB. It matches the Rfam family "tRNA". From Rfam's summary of the family: Transfer RNA (tRNA) molecules are approximately 80 nucleotides in length. Lineage: Eukaryota; Fungi; Basidiomycota; Agaricomycetes; Cantharellales; Ceratobasidiaceae. The record is from Rfam by way of RNAcentral.
GCCCUUAUAGCUCAGUGGUAGAGCGCAUCACUCGUAUUCUGUUGAUCACUUAAUGCUUAUUAAGCCGAUUACGUCAUCAUGAUGAGGUCCAUCGUUCAAUCCGGUGUGAGGGCA